UUCUCAUCCAAUGACAGGCCUCGUUCUAUGAUGACAUCAUCCCACAAGUUCCAGUGUUAAAAUUGGGCUCCCGAGUUCUUCGUCCUUUUCUACGGGGAAAUGUGUGUGAAGGAUGACCCUUCCCUUUCAGUCUGGAGACGUAGAGAAGGACAUCAUGUAAACCACGUUUUUGUCUUUAAAUCUAAACCAUUAACAAAUGAAAUGAAAUUAGUAUUAUCUGAAGGAAUGUACAAAUACCUGCGUAAAGACUAGAUAAUUUUACAGUAAAGUUAAACACUGGGAGUUUUUCUCAAGCACUCAGUAGGCUAGAGUAAUAGGUAGUAAUGCAGGAAGAAAGAUAAGGCACGAGAACCUUUUAAUACAGUAGGGCCAUCAUGUCACUCCCGAAGAAUAACGUCUAAAAUCCGAGAAGUGAACCUUUUGUGGAAAGUCAUGUGAAAAUCUACUAUUUUGUGAGCUACUUAAAAAUAGACAAAAGAGCUUAAAAUGGAGGUACCCUGAAUGUGUGGAUAGUGCUGCUCCCAGACCAUGGGUUUUAGAAUUAAGAACACAGUGCCACACACAAGAUACCACCCUGUGGAUUGUUGGCCAGAGAGAUCUCAGAGGAUUCUCAAAUAAUGCAAUUGUCAUUCCUCCUGGUUGGCCCCCCAAAACAGAUGGUAAGUCUCCGUUCCUGAAGAUACCACAUAUCUCAGUUACAGGGUACAGAGAAACCAUCGUAGAACAAAGCUGGGGGCUCCUUCCCUUCUAGUGACCAUUCAUUGUGCCAGGAGGUACACAGACUUCUGCUGGAAAAGCAGAGUAGUCAGUGGUCAUACCAAGCUCUAGAGCCAGUGUGAUAAGUUAGUGACCUGCCAGGCCAGGUUUGCCACUGAGGCAAUGCUGACAUGAGUGUUAUGGAGUAACCAACUGCUCUGCAAUCAGAUUUGAGGCCUCUACACAGGAAGGCAUGCACACAGGAUAUGUGAGCUUCCUCAAAACGGUAAAUGGAUGUGUUGUCCAACUGCUUUCUUUUGUACACCUAGACUAGAGCAGCUUCCCGCCUUGGCCAGAGAAUCUACUUUUUACAGAAGUCAACCAUUCGUGCAGAGACUCAUCUGGCCGGAGUAUGAAGGGUCUGUACUGAUCAUAAGCAAAGAGCAGCCAAGGACACCUGCACAAGACGCCUUCAGCAUCCACCAGGGAUGGGGAGCUGCCAUGACACCCAACCCCCUUUGUGAGAGUUGAUGGUUUCCAAUCGAGAGGGCAGCAUUUUCCUCAGUGUUGCAGCCACUGAUAAAUACAGUUGUGGCUAUUGAUUUAAUAUCCCACAAGACUCUGACUGGCUCUGGUUGGGAAGACACUAUAUGGUAAUAAUGCAAAUACCUCAAAUUCAAUAUUUUAAACAAAAAAAUGUACUGAGUGCACUGAAAGAGUGUCUCCUGGACUGCUGCCUGCAGCCUAAGGCGGUAGGUUUUAGUUUUGUCUAUUUACUUAUUACUCAUACAGAGGCUCAUGUGAAUAGCACUGCUUCAAACUCACUAUGUAGCUGGAAAUGACCUUGAGCUCCUAGUCCUUCUCCCCCAUCUCCUCGGUCCUGAGAUUUCCGGUACAUGCCAACAUGCCUGGGAAAAUGCAUAUCUGAAGACUUCAUGUCUUCAUGAUACUUCACCAAUCUAUUCAAUCGCCUGGUUGACUUUGCUAUAUAGUAAUUUAAAGGGUGUUUUUAUUUUAUGCACAAUGUGUAUAAAGUAAGAUUCUUAAUAAAUGACUCAGUAACACAGCACCACGAUCAAGAACAGAGGAUUCAUUCCUGACUCUUGACCUUUCUUCCAGAGGACUUGGGUUCGAUUCCCAGCAUCCACGUAUCAGCUCAGAACCACAAUCCAGAAAAUGGAAAACUCAAUCCAGAAAGUGAGAGAUUUCUUGCUUGGUUUGAAGUAGGUGAAUCCACUUCUAGUCUGGACCUAUGACGUGGGAAGACACACGCCAUUAACCCAGACCUUGAAGUGAGAAGACACGCCUUUAAUAUGGGCCACACCUUUUGCUGGACAUCUAUAUAAGGAGAGAGAAGAAGAAAGCUUUUGCUCUUUGCCUUUUUGCCCUCACCUUGCUAGCACGUCCAUCCCUUCACUGGCAGGAGAGCCUACGUGUUUGAGAUCCCAGCAUCUACUGAAGAGCAACUGAGGCAUCCCGCUUUGUGAACUGAACACUACUGGAUUCUUGGACUUUGCGUCCACAGCCAGCCAUUGUUGGAUUAGCUGGAUGGCAGCCUGCCUUACACAGAGAGAGGCAGCACCUUCUGCCCCACCCUGCUCAGUUCAGAAGACACUGGUAGCGUCAUUUAAGCACUGAAGCAAAUAACACAGCGUACUGCAAGUCAGAGGAGCUUAAGUGGGACUCCAACUAAUCUUUUUUAAGGCUCUGUGUCACUGCCACCUGGCCUUGAAUUUCUCAGGAUGACCUCCCCCAUUGCUGGCACAGGAGGCGCUCAGUCAAUACGCCCGAAUCCAGAUAAAGCACACCAAGCCAACCGGGU
This 2518-nucleotide small RNA is filed under the name Rattus norvegicus (Norway rat). RNAcentral's name for it is "uncharacterized LOC102554736". The record is from RNAcentral. Lineage: Eukaryota; Metazoa; Chordata; Mammalia; Rodentia; Muridae.